UACGUAGGGCGCAAGCGUUGUCCGGAAUUAUUGGGCGUAAAGAGCUCGUAGGCGGUUUGUCGCGUCUGCUGUGAAAACCCGAGGCUCAACCUCGGGCCUGCAGUGGGUACGGGGCAGACUAGAGUGUGGUAGGGGGAGACUGGAAUUCCUGGUGUAGCGGUGGAAUGCGCAGAUAUCAGGAGGAACACCAAUGGCGAAGGCAGGUCUCUGGGCCAUUACUGACGCUGGAGGAGCGAAAAGCGUGGGGGAGC
This 251-nucleotide ribosomal RNA is filed under the name uncultured bacterium. RNAcentral describes it as "partial 16S ribosomal RNA". It matches the Rfam family "Bacterial small subunit ribosomal RNA", at positions 524 to 769 of the family's 1533-position model. The record is from RNAcentral.